AAAUGAAUAGACGGGGACCCGCACAAGCAGUGGAUCAUGUGGUUUAAUUCGACAAUAAACGGGGAACCUUACCCAGGCUUGACAUCUAGCGAAUCCUCUGGAAACAGAGGAGUGCCCGCAAGGGAAUGCUAAGACAGGCGCUGCAUGGUUGUCGUCAGCUCGUGCCUUGAGGUGUUCGGUUAAGUCCGUUAACGAGCGCAACCCAUGCCAUUAGUUACUAUGUCUAAUGGGACUGCCUAGGUUAACUAGGAGGAAGAUGUGGAUGACGUCAAAUCAGCAUGGCCCUUAUGCCUGGGGCCACACACAUGAUACAAUGGUCGGUACAAAGUGUAGCAAUAUGGUAACAUUGAGCCAAUCACAAAAGCCGAUCUAAGUCCGGAUUGAGGGCUGCAACUCGCCCUUAUGAAGUUGGAAUUGCUAGUAAUCGUGAAUCAGAUAUGUCACGGUGAAUAUGUUCCCGGGUCUUGUACACACCGCCCGU
RNAcentral lists this ribosomal RNA (481 nucleotides) under uncultured bacterium. Its description in RNAcentral is "bacterial SSU rRNA". It matches the Rfam family "Bacterial small subunit ribosomal RNA", at positions 903 to 1397 of the family's 1533-position model. The record is from RNAcentral.